RNAcentral lists this long non-coding RNA (531 nucleotides) under Rattus norvegicus (Norway rat). RNAcentral describes it as "long non-coding RNA NONRATT001895". The record is from RNAcentral. Lineage: Eukaryota; Metazoa; Chordata; Mammalia; Rodentia; Muridae.
GCGUCAAGGAUUUCUUACCUGGUAUUAGAAAGUGAUGUCAGUAGUUAAGUAUUAUACUAAAGAGGGGAGAGGCCGCCCUGCGCCUCACCCUGGAGGGUACGCCUGGAUAACCACAGCAGUGGACGGGCCAUCCGCUAUGGGCCCUGUGAGUCUGUCUAACUGCUGUCACUGUCAGCUGGUUAUUUAUGCUCCGUUAGGAACUUGUGACCCCACCUAUGAACGUGUCUUUCAGUGACCUAAAGAAAGGAACCUGCCUCCGUUUUGCUGGAAGUGGAAAUGAAGAGAACCGAAACAACGCAUAUCCUCACAAGGCGGGCUUCGCCCAGCCAUCAGGCCUCGCUCUCGCUCCAGAAGAGCCCUGGAGCUGCCUCUUUGUGGCUGACAGCGAGAGCAGCACUGUGAGGACUGUCUCGCUGAGAGACGGAGCCGUGAAACACCUCGUUGGCGGAGAGCGAGACCCCAUGAAUUUAUUUGCUUUUGGUGAUGUUGAUGGAGCAGGCAUCAGUGCGAAGCUUCAGCACCCACUUGGGG